AGCUUUCUGAAUCCGUGCAGAGGUUUCAUCAGACUUCAACCCAUUAGCGCUGAUCGAACUUCCAAGAUAAGUGAAGUU
This is a non-coding RNA of Schistosoma haematobium, 78 nucleotides long. Lineage: Eukaryota; Metazoa; Platyhelminthes; Trematoda; Strigeidida; Schistosomatidae. The record is from Rfam.